Molecule: ribosomal RNA, 516 nt
Filed under: uncultured bacterium
Lineage: Bacteria
Description: partial 16S ribosomal RNA
Rfam family: Bacterial small subunit ribosomal RNA
Source: RNAcentral
GACGAACGCUGGCGGCAUGCCUAAUACAUGCAAGUCGAGCGGACUUGAUGAGAAGCUUGCUUCUCAGAUAGUUAGCGGCGGACGGGUGAGUAACACGUAGGCAACCUGCCCUCAAGCUUGGGACAACUACCGGAAACGGUAGCUAAUCCCGAAUACUUGUUUUCUUCGCCUGAAGGAAACUGGAAAGACGGAGUAAUCUGUCACUUGGGGGUGGGCCUGCGGCGCAUUAGCUAGUUGGUGAGGUAACGGCUCACCAAGGCGACGAUGCGUAGCCGACCUGAGAGGGUGAUCGGCCACACUGGGACUGAGACACGGCCCAGACUCCUACGGGAGGCAGCAGUAGGGAAUCUUCCGCAAUGGGCGAAAGCCUGACGGAGCAAUGCCGCGUGAGUGAUGAAGGUUUUCGGAUCGUAAAGCUCUGUUGCCAUGGAAGAACGCUUGGGAGAGUAACUGCUCCCAAGGUGACGGUACCUGAGAAGAAAGCCCCGGCUAACUACGUGCCAGCAGCCGCAGUAA